AGAGUUUGUAGUCCUGGCUCAGGAUGAACGCUGCGGCGUGCUUACACAUGCAAGUCGAACGAUGAGUCCAGUGCUUGCACCGGGAGUUAGUGGCGAACGGGUGAGUAACACGUGAGUAACCUGCCCUUAACUCUGGGAUAAGCCUGGGAAACUGGGUCUAAUACCGGAUAUGACUCCUCAUCGCAUGGUGGGGGUGGGAAAGGCGUUUUUGUGGUUUUGGUAUGGACUCGCGGUCUAUCAGCUUGUUGGUGAGGGUAAUGGCUCACCAAGGCGACGACGGGUAGCCGGCCUGAGAGGGUGACCGGCCACACUGGGACUGAGACACGGCCCAGACUCCUACGGGAGGCAGCAGUGGGGAAUAUUGCACAAUGGGCGAAAGCCCGAUGCAGCGACGCCGCGUGAGGGAUGACGGCCUUCGGGUUGUAAACCUCUUUCAGUAGGGAAGAAGCGAAAGUGACGGUACCUGCAGAAGAAGCGCCGGCUAACUACGUG
RNAcentral lists this ribosomal RNA (492 nucleotides) under uncultured Micrococcaceae bacterium. RNAcentral describes it as "bacterial SSU rRNA". It matches the Rfam family "Bacterial small subunit ribosomal RNA", at positions 8 to 507 of the family's 1533-position model. The record is from RNAcentral. Lineage: Bacteria; Bacillati; Actinomycetota; Actinomycetes; Micrococcales; Micrococcaceae.